AAGGGAGCGUAGGCGGCUGAUUAAGUCAGCGGUGAAAGGUAGCAGCUUAACUGUUUUACAUGCCGUUGAUACUGGUUAGCUUGAGUUGACAGAAGGCAGAUAGAAUUCCUGAUGUAGCGGUGAAAUGCUUAGAUAUCAGGAGGAAUACCGAUUGCGAAGGCAGUCUGCUGCAGUCACACUGACGCUGAGGCUCGAAGGUGCGGGGAUCAAACAGGAUUAGAUACCCCAGU
RNAcentral lists this ribosomal RNA (230 nucleotides) under uncultured bacterium. Its description in RNAcentral is "partial 16S ribosomal RNA". It matches the Rfam family "Bacterial small subunit ribosomal RNA", at positions 563 to 791 of the family's 1533-position model. The record is from RNAcentral.